This is a long non-coding RNA of Pan troglodytes (chimpanzee), 2608 nucleotides long. The record is from Ensembl. NCBI's taxonomy places the organism in Eukaryota, Metazoa, Chordata, Mammalia, Primates, Hominidae.
AUCUUCCAGAGGGAGCAGUGAAGGGGCUCUGCAAAUUGUUCUGCUUGACUCUGCAUCGAUAUAGGUGAGUCCCAGCCAAAGGCCCCAUAUGUGGAGCACUUUGUACAGAGAGGGGAUUUAGGGUAGUGGUUAGAGCCCAGAUUAGAGCCAGACUGCCUGGUGCCAAAUCUGGGCUAUGUCACAUCCUAGCCAUUAGAUCCUGGGCAAGUUACUUAACCUCUCUGUGCCUCAGUUUCCUUGUCUGCAGAAUGGGGAUGGUGCCAUUCUCUAUCUCAUGGGUGGUUGUUAGUAAGCGUGAGGUGCCUGGAACAGUUGCCUGCUGUGCCAUAGUGGUCAUUGUGUUUAUGCUGCCAUUUAGUCAUGUGUGUUAAAUCGUCUGGCCUACUUUGAGACCCUUAUAACUGCUCCAUAAAUGUAGGUGCUGCCCUUACACACUCAAUGGCUUAUUUGCCCUUAUGAGAUACUUUUAGAACUCUAGGAGGAGGUGAGUUUAUCUAGUUAUUUCCUAAUCCCUUCUCUGUUAUCCACUGGAAUAUGGUGUGAUCAGUUUCUCCUGAGAAAGACCAGUGUAUGGCCUGAGCAGCCUUGCCCCUGCCUCUGCCUGAGGUCUGCAUGUUCACCUUUUCCUUUGCCUCUCCCCCUAGAGAUGCAGCCUCCCGCAGGGCCUUGCAGGCAGCCAUCCAGCAGUUGGCUGAGGCCCAGCCAGAAGCCACUGCUAAGAACCUUCUACACUCUCUGCAGUCUUCUGGUAUAGGCUCCAAAGCAGGUGUUCCCAGUAAGAGCAGUGGCUCUGCCGCCUUGCUGGCCUUGACCUGGACCUGCCUCCUGGUGCGCAUUGUCUUUCCAUCGAGAGCCAAGCGACAAGGAGACAUCUGGAACAAACUGGUGGAAGUGCAGUGCCUGCUCUUGCUGGAGGUGCUGGGUGGCUCCCACAAGCACGCCGUGGAUGGUGCUGUGAAGAAACUCACGAAGCUGUGGAAAGAGAACCCUGGGCUGGUGGAACAGUACUUGUCAGCCAUUCUCAGCCUAGAGCCCAACCAGAACUAUGCCGGCAUGCUGGGGCUGCUAGUGCAGUUCUGCACGAGUCACAAGGAGAUGGACGUGGUCAGUCAGCACAAGAGCGCCCUACUGGACUUUUACAUGAAGAACAUCCUGAUGAGCAAAGUCAAGCCUCCGAAGUACCUGUUGGAUAGCUGUGCCCCUCUGCUCCGAUACCUGUCCCACUCAGAAUUUAAGGAUCUGAUACUGCCCACCAUACAGAAGUCCUUACUGAGGAGUCCAGAGAAUGUUAUUGAAACUAUUUCUAGUCUGCUGGCAUCAGUGACGCUUGACCUCAGCCAGUAUGCCAUGGACAUCGUGAAAGGACUGGCUGGUCACCUGAAAUCCAACAGUCCCCGCCUGAUGGAUGAAGCUGUGCUGGCACUGCGGAACCUGGCACGCCAGUGCAGUGACUCUUCGGCCAUGGAAUCCCUGACCAAGCACCUAUUUGCUAUCCUCGGAGGUGAGCAAGCCUUCUUGGCCAUGCGGGUGGUUGAGGCGUGGCCCCUGGUAUUUCCCUCAACUGGGAUCUGAAGGGGACUUGAUGCUCCAAGUCUGCCUGUGGCAAGGCUGUGUGGCCAGGAGGACGUCACACUGGAAUGAGAAUGUGUGUGAAUGAACAAAACCCUGCACGGGGUGGUGUGGAUGGGGUGAUCUCAGGUUUUUCGUUUUUAAGAUACACAUUUUUGUAGGCAUAGCAGAAAAAACUAAAGGAAAUACACCAGAGAAGAAAUGUCUUUGAGUAGUGGAGACAUGAGUGCUUUAAAUGUUUUUCUUUAUAUUUUUUCUGUUUCUCAAGUUUUUUGUAGGAACAUUCUUUUUUGAGUCAGAAAGCAAAAGGCUAGUAAAAGUUGUUUUAAACCCAGCUUCACAACACAAAGGCUACUUCUGGAAUCAGAAACCGUAUCGUGGCAUCACACACGUGACUGCAUUGUUCACUCUCUUGGGAAAUGUGGCAUAUGUGAAUGUGAAUCUUUGCUGUCUCUCUUCUCAGGCUCGGAAGGAAAACUAACUGUUGUAGCCCAGAAGAUGAGCGUCCUCUCAGGUAUAGGAUUUCUCUUUUUUUUUUUUUUUUUUUUUUUUUGAGAGAAAGUCUUGCUGUGUCAUCUAGGAUAGAGUGCAGUGGUGCCAUCUCAGCUCACUGCAACCUCUGCCUCCCAGGUUCAAGCGAUCCUCAUGCCUCAGCCUCCUUAGUAGCUGGGAUUACUGGUGCGCACCACCACGCCUGCUAAUUUUUUUGUAUUUUUAGUAGAGAUGGGGUUUCACCAUAUUGGCCAGGCUGGUCUUGAACUCCUGGCGUCAAGUGAUCUGCCCGCCUCAGCCUCCCAAAGUGCUGGGAUUACAGGCAGGUACAGGAUUUCUCUGCCAGGAGUAGAGCUGUGAUCUGGUAGUAGAUAAGCUUUUUUUUUUUUUUUUUUUUUUUUUUGAGAUGGAGUCUCACUCUGUCGCCAGGCUGGAGCGCAGUGGCACAAUCUUGGCUCACUGCAACCUCUGCCUCCUGGGUUCAAGCAAUCCUCCUGCCUCAGCCUCUUGAGUAGCUGGGACUACAGGCACACACCACCACAUCCAG